UCCAGACUCCUACGGGAGGCAGCAGUCGGGAAUAUUGCACAAUGGAGGAAACUCUGAUGCAGUGACGCCGCGUGCAGGAAGAAGGUUUUCGGAUUGUAAACUGCUUUAGAUGGGGAAGAAAAAAGACUGUACCCAUAGAAUAAGCUCCGGCUAACUACGUGCCAGCAGCCGCGGCAAUACGUAGGGGGCAAGCGUUAUCCGGAUUUACUGGGUGUAAAGGGGGCGCAGACGGCAGCGCAAGCCAGGAGUGAAAGCCCGGGGCCCAACCCCGGGACUGCUCUUGGAACUGCGCGGCUGGAGUGCAGGAGGGGCAGGCGGAAUUCCUGGUGUAGCGGUGAAAUGCGUAGAUAUCAGGAGGAACACCGGUGGCGAAGGCGGCCUGCUGGACUGCGACUGACGUUGAGGCCCGAAAGCGUGGGGAGCAAACAGGAUUAGAUACCCCAGUA
RNAcentral lists this ribosomal RNA (446 nucleotides) under uncultured bacterium. RNAcentral describes it as "bacterial SSU rRNA". It matches the Rfam family "Bacterial small subunit ribosomal RNA", at positions 330 to 792 of the family's 1533-position model. The record is from RNAcentral.